Molecule: ribosomal RNA, 425 nt
Filed under: uncultured bacterium
Lineage: Bacteria
Description: partial 16S ribosomal RNA
Rfam family: Bacterial small subunit ribosomal RNA
Source: RNAcentral
GUUAGGAAUAUUGGACAAUGGGCGCAAGCCUGAUCCAGCCAUGCCGCGUGAGUGAUGAAGGCCUUCGGGUUGUAAAGCUCUUUAGUCCACGAAUAUAAUGACUGUAGUGGAAGAAUAAGCCCCGGCUAACUUCGUGCCAGCAGCCGCGGUAAUACGAAGGGGGCGAGCGUUAUUCGGAAUCACUGGGCGUGAAGCGUGCGUAGGCUGUUUUGUAAGUCAGAAUUGAAAGCCCAGUGCUAAACCCUGGAAUUGCUUUUGAAACUACAAGACUCGAAUUCGGGAGAGGAUAGCGGAAUUGUCAGUGUAGCAGGGAAAUGCGUAGAUAUUGACAGGAACACCAGUGGCGCAAGCGGCUAUCUGGACCGAUAUUGACGCUGAGGCACGAAAGCGUGGGGAGCAAACAGGAUUAGAAACCCGUGUAGUCC